RNAcentral lists this long non-coding RNA (353 nucleotides) under Homo sapiens (human). RNAcentral describes it as "HSALNT0181401". Lineage: Eukaryota; Metazoa; Chordata; Mammalia; Primates; Hominidae. The record is from RNAcentral.
UACCCUGGGCCAGACAGGAGCCCACUGCCCUGAAGGGUGAAUCCCACGACUGGCAGCAUUCACCACAAGCUGACUGAAGAGACCUUGGGCCUUAUGUGAAUAUUGGCGGUAGCCUGGCAGUACUCCUCAUGGGUCUGUAGUGGUGGUGGCAGUGGGGUGAAGCUCCUGUGCCUGUGGAAAGUGGAGGCAAGAGUAGGAAGGACUGUCUCACAGUUUGAGUGCCAGCCACAGAACAACAGAACACCACAUAGGUUUCUAAGGUGUUUGAACAGUCCCUAGCGCCUGGAUGGCAUCUCUGGACCUGCCUGGAGUCUGGGGAAACUCACUGCCCUGAAGUGAAGGACACAAGCCUG